AGGCGGAGCGUGGCAGGGAAGCUGCUGGAGAUGUAGACUGAGCCCGAAUCAGGCAGUCCAUGUGAACUCCAUUGAAAUAUGGUGUGUCAAAUGAGUAUUGUGCCUCAGCACAUCAGCAGAGUGAGCAGUGUGAUGGCUGCUUUGGUCAGUGGAGGAAGUUGAAACGAAGACAGAGUGAAGAUGGAGAAACAAGAUGGAAGUGGUAGAGAGAACCAAGAGAGAAGGCUAAGGUGGCUCUGAGAAGGAAUAGAGAGACUUUUCUUCCUGUUAAGGGCAGUAGAGGGAAUAAUCCAGCUGACAACUCACUAUUCACAGCCAUCUGGCUCCAGGAACAACAGAUUGAUCGUGUAUGUGCCCAACUCUUUCAAAAUGGAAAUGAUGAACCCACAAAGGAAAAACUCCCAAGGAUUUUAAUAGGACGUAUUGCCUAAUACAAAACAGCAAAUGAUAAGGACUUCUGCAGAAGGAAAGCAAUCAAACAAAACAAAGAAGGGAAGAAACAAAGAAAGAUAAUGACAGGUUAUCAUCAGCCUGGCCUCGGAUCUGUGCUUGGAGAAACCUGCUGCCACUGAUAGUGCUCAUAAAGUACAACACCUAUUGCUGUUUUUAGUAUUUUGGUAUGAAGUGUAACCAAAUCAUUUACCUAAUGGAGGCCACACAUUGUCAGUUCUAGUCUAGACGUGUACCUAUUCAGCUGCAUCAUGGUUAACUUCAUCCAAAUACCAGGAUCACCAUACUGAUAUGCUCGGGAGUAGCAGAUGUGCUUCUGAGUGAGCCUCAGUCAAAACAAAGUGAACCAUUUAAUGACUCAAGCUUUCCAUUUGUUUCCUGAGGUGCUCUUUUGUUUCUCCUCUGUUGCCCUUAUACCUUAUACUCAAUCAUUUUAUUCAUCUUCUUGGCUUUGUAUCUUCUGUUUUUCUUGCUUUCAUGACUGCCUCCUUCACUCAGUUUCUAUU
This is a long non-coding RNA of Prionailurus viverrinus (fishing cat), 956 nucleotides long. RefSeq lists it as uncharacterized. Lineage: Eukaryota; Metazoa; Chordata; Mammalia; Carnivora; Felidae. The transcript is spliced from 4 exons. The record is from RefSeq and is a predicted model, not a curated record.